This 1069-nucleotide long non-coding RNA is filed under the name Monodelphis domestica (gray short-tailed opossum). Its description in RNAcentral is "lncRNA (ENSMODG00000039496.1)". The record is from RNAcentral. Lineage: Eukaryota; Metazoa; Chordata; Mammalia; Didelphimorphia; Didelphidae.
GAUCUAAUGUGAACGAAAUUUAAUUUUAAAUUCCUAUGUAAAUAUAACCUAGAUUUCAAGCCUUGGUUGUUUCUUAGGCUGUAUGCUGCUUGCAAAAAAUGAUUCCAGAUUUGUGGGAAGAAUGAUGAUAUAACCCUGUGCAACUACCUGAGCAGUGGAAUUGGUACAAGAGCUUUGAAGAGAAGUAAAAGUUUUCCCUGUUUCCUAAAUAGAUGAAACACAUAGUUUCACUUUGGAAAUGGCAGACACGAGAUAUCAUGUAAUAAUGCACUGGCCAAUGAGAAGCCAGUCCUGAAUAUAUGCACAUUUUGUGAAUCUCCACUUGGAAGUGUCUGAAGAUGCAAAAUGGAAAGAGGACUAGAUCCCCACUUCAGGGCAUUUAAAGCACCUCUGAUGUCUCCGUUCCAUCUUUCUUCUUCUCGGGUCAUGAUUUAGAAGUCAAAGGCAAACACAACAGUCCUGAAGUGCCUCACAAUAAUUGCUAGAGGAGGUGCAGAAACAGCCCUAGACCAUACAUGACAUCUCUUGGAAUUUCUGGCUCCUGCCUAGCUCUCGAAGGAAGAACCCAGCUACCCAGCUCUGCCUAUACCUCCAAGCAAACAGUAAUCAGAAGAGACAUUAACCCAAGACCAAUAUACAGUUACUUAGGACAUUAUCAAGCCCAUCCCCUUGGAGCUGAGCACUGAAUUGCAUAAGCUUUACAAGCCAGCAUUCCAUCUUGAAAAUGGUUCAUGCUUUUUCUUUGCCCAAAUUCAGACAUGGGCAGAGUCAGAGAUGCAUCAGUUCAAAGAGUCACACUUUGUCUUUCUGGUAUGGGCCAUGAAGAUGAGAGAUGAUAGGGUUUUCUGGGUAAAUAUUUAUAGUGCUGCAUUCAGACGGCAAUUUAGCACUUAUUCCUGACCUCUGCCACCCUCACCCCCCUCACUUACAGAAAUAGUAACAGCUUCAAAAAGUGCUGGGUUGACUCCAUAAAGAACAUAUGUUUACUGAUUAGGGAAAACAGAAGAGGCCUUCUAAUGUGAAAAUAUGGGGUCCCUCAUGGGCUUAGGGUUUAAAAACAAAUUACGGG